CCUACGGGGAGCAGCAGUGGGGAAUAUUGCACAAUGGGGGAAACCCUGAUGCAGCGACGCCGCGUGAGUGAAGAAGUAUUUCGGUACGUAAAGCUCUAUCAGCAGGGAAGAAAAUGACGGUACCUGACUAAGAAGCCCCGGCUAACUACGUGCCAGCAGCCGCGGUAAUACGUAGGGGGCAAGCGUUAUCCGGAUUUACUGGGUGUAAAGGGAGCGUAGACGGCAGCGCAAGUCUGGAGUGAAAUCCCAUGGCUUAACCAUGGAACUGCUUUGGAAACUGUGCAGCUAGAGUGCAGGAGAGGUAAGCGGAAUUCCUAGUGUAGCGGUGAAAUGCGUAGAGAUUAGGAGGAACACCAGUGGCGAAGGCGGCUUACUGGACUGUAACUGACGUUGAGGCUCGAAAGCGUGGGGAGCAAACAGGAUUAGAUACCCCAGUAGUC
RNAcentral lists this ribosomal RNA (440 nucleotides) under uncultured bacterium. RNAcentral describes it as "partial 16S ribosomal RNA". It matches the Rfam family "Bacterial small subunit ribosomal RNA", at positions 338 to 795 of the family's 1533-position model. The record is from RNAcentral.